CUGGACAGAGGGGUGGCUGUGGAUGUAGUGAGGUAAAUAGAAGCCUGGACAGAGGGGCGGCUGUGGAUGUAGUGAGGUAAAUAGAAGCCUGGACAGAGGGGCGGCUUUGGAUGUAGUGAGGUAAGUAGAAGCCUGGACAGAGGGGCGGCUGUGGAUGUAGUGUGGUGAGUAGAAGCCUG
This is a long non-coding RNA of Bufo bufo (common toad), 179 nucleotides long. RefSeq lists it as uncharacterized. The record is from RefSeq and is a predicted model, not a curated record. Lineage: Eukaryota; Metazoa; Chordata; Amphibia; Anura; Bufonidae. The transcript is spliced from 3 exons.